GGCUCCUUGAAGAAGGAUUGGUGUUUUUAUUCCUAUUUUUCCAAUCAAUUUGAAAGGAUUUGUUAAAUUUGCUAGGAGAAGAAAUUAACACGUCAUCCAACAAGCUGACUGAGUCAAUUUCUGGGGAGGUCCCUAGCAGCAGAGGGAGUGUCAUCAAAGUUUUGACAGACUCAGUCCAAUCACAGGC
Molecule: non-coding RNA, 187 nt
Organism: Pseudonaja textilis
Lineage: Eukaryota; Metazoa; Chordata; Lepidosauria; Squamata; Elapidae
Source: RefSeq, a predicted model, not a curated record